GUGCUCACUUCAGCAGCACAUAUACUAAAAUGGAAUGAUACAGAGAUUAGCAUGGCCCCUUGCAAAGAUGACAUGCAAACUUGUGAAGUGUUCCAUAUUUGA
This is a small nuclear RNA of Pipistrellus kuhlii (Kuhl's pipistrelle), 102 nucleotides long. Lineage: Eukaryota; Metazoa; Chordata; Mammalia; Chiroptera; Vespertilionidae. The record is from RefSeq and is a predicted model, not a curated record.